This 3342-nucleotide unclassified non-coding RNA is filed under the name Manduca sexta (tobacco hornworm). RNAcentral describes it as "protein turtle, transcript variant X3". The record is from RNAcentral. Lineage: Eukaryota; Metazoa; Arthropoda; Insecta; Lepidoptera; Sphingidae.
UACCGAAGCGGGCGGGAGGCUUGCAGGGCGCAUGCGCGCGGGGGCGCUGGCGUCGCGAGCGAGUCAGUCCUAUGCGCGUCUCCGAGCCUGUGUUACUUGUGUUCCGUUAGCCCGUCUAACUGACGCACUCAUCGCAAACGAACUCUAUGAAAUAAUAAUGAAUUCGCAAACCGGCCUACUCGCUAUGGUGGUUCGAUAGUUGUUUGUGUAAUAACCUGGGCUUCAGUGUCGUCGAGGGCAGCGGGCACCGGCGGACCGGUCCACACAGGGAGGCUGCGCCGGUCUCACGCCCGAGUACAGUGGAAUGCGGCAAUUUUAACUACUGCGGACUUGGACACCCAUUCCAGAACAGGGAUCAAAUAUAUAUUGCCCAUCCAAUAAGGUGAUGCAUCAAGAAUGAGUCGCCGAGCGCGGCCGUGACAUGGGAGCGCAGGCAUGGGCUGGCGCGCCGUGCAACCGCCGCACAUCGCCGCCGGCUUGCUUCUUCUGCUGCUAGUCAACCUACCAGUGACGUGCCACCAAGACCAUCAAGAUGCUGUUCACAUCACGGCUAUCCUCGGCGAGAGUGUCGUUUUCAACUGCCAGGUGGACUUCCCCGAAGACAUCCCGGUGCCGUACGUGUUGCAGUGGGAGAAGAAGGUAGGCGAAACGGGACAGGACAUCCCAAUCUACAUCUGGUACGAAAGCUAUCCGACUCAUAGCGGGGAGGGGUACGAAGGCAGGGUAUCGCGCGUCGCUCCCGACUCACCAUAUGGAGCGGCCAGCCUCAACCUCACCAAUAUCCGCGAAUCUGAUCAGGGUUGGUACGAGUGUAAGGUGGUGUUCCUUAACCGUUCGCCAAAUCAACACAAGAACGGCACAUGGUUCCACUUGGACGUGCAUGCGCCGCCGCGCUUCUCCAUCACACCGGAAGACAUUAUAUACGUUAAUUUAGGAGAUGCCAUCAUUCUCAACUGUCAGGCGGAGGGUACGCCCACGCCUGAGAUCCUUUGGUACAAAGAUGCGAACCCCGUAGAACCAUCGGGCACGGUAGGCAUAUUCAACGACGGCACCGAGCUCCGCAUCAGCAACAUCAGACACGAGGACAUCGGGGACUACACGUGCAUCGCUCGCAACGGGGAGGGACAAGUGUCGCACACCGCGCGGGUCAUCAUCGCCGGAGGGGCCGUCAUUACCAUGCCGCCAACAAACCAAACGAAAUUAGAAGGUGAAAAAGUGCAGUUCUCGUGUGAAGCAAAGGCUCUGCCUGGAAACGUAACAGUAAAGUGGUUUCGAGAAGGCGCGCCCGUCGCCGAAGUAGCUGCCCUGGAGACCAGAGUGACUAUCCGACGAGACGGAGCGCUCGUCAUCAACCCAGUGGCCGCGGACGACUCAGGACAAUAUCUGUGUGAAGUAUCGAACGGCAUCGGGGAUCCCCAAAGCGCAUCGGCCUAUUUAAAUGUUGAAUAUCCAGCGAAAGUAACGUUCACUCCGACUGUACAGUAUUUGCCCUUUCGAUUGGCGGGCGUGGUACAAUGUUACAUAAAGGCGAACCCACCACUGCAAUACGUGACGUGGACGAAAGACAAGAGGUUGUUGGAGCCGUACCAAACGAAGGACAUUGUCAUUAUGAACAACGGUUCACUGCUUUUCACUAGAGUCAAUCAGAAUCAUCAGGGCCGGUACACUUGCACGCCUUAUAAUGCACAAGGGACCCAAGGAUCUUCAGGUCCGAUGGAAGUUUUAGUACGCAAACCUCCGGUAUUCACAGUGGAACCAGAACCGUUGUAUCAAAGAAAGGUGGGUGAAUCAGUAGAAAUGCAUUGCGAGGCACAAGAGGCGGAGGGCACGCAGCGGCCGAGCGUGACGUGGCGGCGGCGCGACGGGCUGCCGCUGCAGAAGAGCCGCGUGCGCGCGCUCGGCGGCAACAUCACCAUCGACACGCUCCGCCGCCAGGACUUCGGCAUCUACCAGUGCGUCGCCUCCAACGAGGUGGCGACCAUAGUGGCGGACACGCAGCUCGUGAUCGAGGGCACACAGCCGCACGCGCCCUACAAUGUGUCGGGGACAGCCACUGAGUUCCAAGUAACGCUGCGCUGGCAGCCGGGGUACGCGGGCGGGCCCGACUACAAGCAAGACUACACCAUUUGGUACAGGGAGGCUGGCUUUUCUGAGUGGACAAAGGUUCCUGUCACCCCGUCUGGUGCUACUUUCGUAACAAUAAAUCGCCUGCAACCAGGAACUACGUACGAGUUUCAAGUGAACAGCAAGAACACGAUAGGAGAAGGGAUGAUGAGCAAAGCUAUUACGAUAAGAACUUUGGAUGUAGGAGCUAAACCAAAGGUGGCACCCACACCCUCGGGCCCUGUAGACAGAACUUUAUUUCCGGUUGCACCCGAAGGCUCUGGUCCGAAGCCGGGGUCCCCUCGCAACCUGACGGUGACGGAGGUGCACAACGGGUUCCUCAUCACGUGGCAGGCGCCGCUCGAGCGCGCGCACCUCGUGCAGUACUACACCAUCAAGUACCGCACCGACGCGCAGUGGAAGACGCUCAACCGCGGCCAGAUCCGGCCCGAGGAGACCAGCUAUCUAGUGAAAAAUCUAGUCGGCGGGCGCACCUAUUACUUCCGAGUACUGGCCAACUCGGCGACCAGUUACGAGAGUUCGGAGGAGGUUAAGUUUCCGGUGCCGGCGCGCGUCAAACACAAAGCGAUCACGGCGGGAGUGGUGGGCGGCAUACUGUUCUUCAUAGUCGCUAUUAUACUGUCUGUGUGCGCGGUGAAGAUAUGCAACAAGCGCAAGCGUCGCAAGCAGGAGAAAGAAAUUAUUCGAUUACAGCAUACAACAUGGUAGCCGCGAGACUGACCGACCUCCGCGCAGCCGACAGCACUCAAGUGCCUUUUAAAAAAUUUAGAGAACGCGGAAUAUCGAGUAUAGUGCAAUGUUUGCGAUUCACGGCUAACUGGGUGUGGCCGGCGUCACGAUGCGGCGGCGAGACGCAGUACUGGGUGGCGGCGCACGUGUCGGCCGCGUCAUCGAGCUCGCCGGCGCCGUCGCUGGCGCCUUCGUCCUCGGAUGACGGCGGGUUCCUGCCGCGGCUGCGCGCGCCGCUGCGCCCGUCGGCUGCGCCACCACUGUUCCGCGCCUCGUCGCCGGCGCUGGCGCUGCACUGGCCGCCGUGGCCGCCGUGGCCUCCGUGGGCCGCCGCCUGGACGCCGUGGUCGCCGCUACACGUUUCCGACCUCAGCUCGGUGCCAUUUCCCAGUUCUGCGGACGGCUCAUUUCCGACGCCGCCUUCGCCAUUUCGACUGCGCUCACUGCGACUGGGCGCCGCUGAGGCAGGCAGAGGCAUCGCGGGUGCGC